RNAcentral lists this ribosomal RNA (505 nucleotides) under uncultured bacterium. RNAcentral's name for it is "partial 16S ribosomal RNA". It matches the Rfam family "Bacterial small subunit ribosomal RNA", at positions 28 to 507 of the family's 1533-position model. The record is from RNAcentral.
GACGAACGCUGGCGGCGUGCCUAAUACAUGCAAGUAGAACGCACAGUUUAUACCGUAGCUUGCUACACCAUAGACUGUGAGUUGCGAACGGGUGAGUAACGCGUAGGUAACCUGCCUGGUAGCGGGGGAUAACUAUUGGAAACGAUAGCUAAUACCGCAUAAUAUUAAUUAUUGCAUGAUAAUUAAUUGAAAGGUGCAAUUGCACCACUACCAGAUGGACCUGCGUUGUAUUAGCUAGUAGGUGAGGUAACGGCUCACCUAGGCGACGAUACAUAGCCGACCUGAGAGGGUGAUCGGCCACACUGGGACUGAGACACAGCCCAGACUCCUACGGGAGGCAGCAGUAGGGAAUCUUCGGCAAUGGACGAAAGUCUGACCGAGCAACGCCGCGUGAGUGAAGAAGGGUUUCGGAUCGUAAAGCUCUGUUGUAAGAGAAGAACGGGUGUGAGAGUGGAAAGUUCACACUGUGACGGUAUCUUACCAGAAAGGGACGGCUAACUACGUG